RNAcentral lists this unclassified non-coding RNA (383 nucleotides) under rhizosphere metagenome. Its description in RNAcentral is "partial ribosomal RNA internal transcribed spacer region". The record is from RNAcentral.
GUAGGUGAACCUGCGGAAGGAUCAUUACAAAAACAAAAUCCAAAUCACACCAAUAUGUGCUCUUUUGACGCAGAAGGUCUUUGUGUGUGUGCUUGUGCUUGUGCUUUGUAUGUAAGGCUGUUUGUAUGUGUGUGUGUGUGUAUACGAUUGUGUGGGUGUGGAAACACGCCCAUACUUUCUCUCACACAGACACACACAGACACUCUCAUCCCUACACACACACACACACACACACACACAUCCCCCCUUCUUGCUCGUCUUUUAUUUUGAAUUUUCAUUAACUCCUUGUUUCCAACCAAACAACGGAUUACAAUGUUAAAACUUGAAACUAAAAAAACAAACAAACAAAAUGACAACUUUUAACGGUGGAUCUCUUGGCCCGU